GAAAUGCGAUAAGUAAUGUGAAUUGCAGAAUUCCGUGAAUCAUCGAAUCUUUGAACGCACAUUGCGCCCUCUGGCAUUCCGGGGGGCAUGCCUGUCCGAGCGUCAUUACGCACCCUCAAGCCCGGCUUGUGUGAUGGGCCCCGGCGUCUCGUUCGCGAGACGGGCCCGAAAGGCAGCGGCGGCGUCGACCCGAUGCGCCCGAGCGUAUGGGGACUUCUGUCACACGUUCGCGGUGCGGACCGGCGCCUGCUUGACUUUUCUGAUUAUCCAGGUUGACCUCGGAUCAGGUAGGGAUACCCGCUGAACUUAAGC
This 312-nucleotide unclassified non-coding RNA is filed under the name plant metagenome. RNAcentral describes it as "partial contains 5.8S ribosomal RNA, internal transcribed spacer 2, and large subunit ribosomal RNA". The stretch from base 1 to 105 matches the Rfam family "5.8S ribosomal RNA", at positions 50 to 154 of the family's 154-position model. The record is from RNAcentral.